This is a long non-coding RNA of Vitis vinifera (wine grape), 4290 nucleotides long. RefSeq lists it as uncharacterized. Lineage: Eukaryota; Viridiplantae; Streptophyta; Magnoliopsida; Vitales; Vitaceae. The transcript has 6 exons. The record is from RefSeq and is a predicted model, not a curated record.
UACUACAAAAAACCAAAACAAGGACGCUUAUAUCCUUGGCGCUUUUAAAAAAGCGUCAUUAUUUAGUUGGAUAUACACAAAUGUUGGCGCUCGUUUACUAUGGCGCUUUAUAACUGUCAUUGAGCUGAAUAUGCUUAAAGACGUUGGCGCCUAUUUUUAAGUGUCAUUGUGUACAAACAUCAACACGCAUCCUUGGCACUUCUCACAAGCGUCAUGUACUUUUUAACACAAUAUUUAAUAUUUUUUAUUCCCUUCAUUGAAUUAUUUGCACCCGCAAAAAGCAUAUUUCACAACCCGAUAAACCUUGGCCAUUUUCUUACACAUCAUACUAGAUGUGAGUAUAAAAGCCCUUAGAAGACCCAAACCCUCAGAGCAUAAAAAACCCUAAGCCUUCACUCCCUAUCAAAAACCGUAACCCUUGGAAGAGUACCAUAUUCACACCUCGAUCUAUAUUUCUCUUGACUUUUAGGGAAUGGAAUCUCAUAGAUUUGAAUGGGAACAAAUAAGAAGUGAGGCAGAAGGCAAUUUCGAGGUGAUUCAUCACAUUGUGAAGUGACAACAUGUAGUUGGUCAUAAACUAGAGCUAUUUGGGGUUUUCAUUUUCAAGAUCGUCUCUUUUGUGAAGCUACUAGAAGAUGUGGAGGUUUUCAUUUCAAGACCCAUGCAAAUCUGAUUUUGAAGCUAUCAAGAUGUGGAGGUUUUGGGCUAUCAGUGUUUUCCGGCCUGGUGUAAGGUUCUCAGAGAUUGUGGGGAGUUCGUACUAUAUGGCGCCUGAGGUUUUGAAGCGAAAUUAUAGGCCUGAAGUGGAUAUAUGGAGUGCUGGAGUGAUUCUUUAUAUUUUGCUAUGUGGAGUUCCUCCAUUUUGGGCAGAGACGGAACAGGGUGUUGCUUUGACAAUUUUAAGGGGGUGAUUGAUUUUAAGAGGGAACCUUGGCCGCAAAUUUCUGAUAAUGCAAAGAGCCUUGUUAGGCAAAUGUUGGAGCAGGAUCCCAGAAAGCAGUUGAUUGCUCAACAGGUGCUUGUUGGGUUGCUCAUAUCGUGAGUGAACAGAGCAUCAAAAUCUCACUUAAUAGCUGUUGCAGAGAGGGACUCAAAAAGGGUUUAUCUUUUGCUGCACCAAUUCCCACCCAAUAUAGAGAUUGAUGCCAUGAUAGAGAAGGUAUCAGAUCAAUAAUUACCCAUUUUUAUUUACUUCAUUAAUUUUUUUAUUCUUACUAAUGUAUUAUGCCCCAAUAGUGGAGUUGCCUUUAGAGAUGUCUGUGGUACAUCCCCACAGAUAACUUUAGAUUUGUUGAGGGUGAGCUCAAAGAAUUACACCAGGUAAGUUAUAGUUUUUUGUUUUAUGUAUCCUAUCACUAUUUAUUCUUGAUAGUUGUACCAUGUGCUCUUGUUGACUUUUGAGAUAUUAUUGAUUCAAGUAACCUACGGUGCUUUGGUAUACGUGUGAUUGAAAUCCUAUCUCUAGAACAGGCCAUUGCAUACAUACAUGGGCAAAAAGGAUUAUCAUAUUUUCCUUCAUAGUGAUCAAAGCAAUUAGUUUGGUUGGUUUUUGUCAAGGAGUUUGGCACCAUGUUGGAACUUUUAUGACCUUUUUUUUUUCUCAUUGUUAUGUUUGUGGCAUGGUGAUAAUUUCAUGAUUUGGGAACUUAAGAUAUGAAAUAGUGUUGAUUUUAGGUUAUUAUAUUUUCUCUUUAUUUAACAAAUAUAGGAAUAAUGAGGGAUAAUUUGGGAACUUAAGGAUGAAAUAAUGUUGAUACUUGACUCUUAUAUUCUCUCUUUAUUUAACAAAUAUAAGUAUAAUUAGGGAAAAACCUAGAACAAAUGAAAUUGAAAAGUACAAAAGUAAUACAGAUGAAACAAAAGAAGGAUUAAGUGUUGAAUUAUGUUGAACAAUUUAAGAAUGUUGAUUCUAAUUUGGGAUUUCUUCAUUAAAAUUUCAAAAUCCAUGAAUAAAUUUUUUACUUUUUAUAAAAUAUUUAUUGAGAUAAAUAGAGCAUUAAUGGUUUUGAUGUUUUGGAUAGAAAACAUAAAUUUCAAGUUGGUUAUCAAUUUGUAAGUCUAAAAUAAUUGAUCAUUGAAUUCACUACUUGCUGAAUGUUUAAAAGAAUUCUUCCAUGUAUCUUAAACAGAUUGAAAUUAAGAUGUUUUUGCCUGCUAGAUGUUCAAACAAUAGUGUCAUGAUGUAAUUAGAUAGCUUUAUAUAGUGCUAGAUUCCUGGGUCUAUUGUUUUUUCAUGAUGUUCAAUCUAUUGAGAAUGAAUAUUAAAAGAAGUUGCAAUUAGAGUUGUCAGACUCAACAUAAAAAAUAAAUGAUCCAAUCCAAUUAUUUUUGUCAUGGGAAUUUUUAAGGAUAUGAAUGUAUUAAAUGGUUAAUUAAAAAGUUAUAAGGUUUUAAAUAAAAUUUAAAACUAAAAAAAAAAAAUUAAAUUUCAAAUUUUCCAAAGAAUUUGAAAAAUGUAGAUAAACCUUUAAUUUUUAAUUUUAAUUUUUAUUCUUUAUUUUAAAAAAAAUUUAACUUAUCAAAUAUAGAUUUGAUUUUAGAGCUUCUUAAAGGUGUUAGUGAUAACGAAGACUGUUAACUUCUUACCGUUUUGGAUCAUAUAUGAAUUAUGUUAUUAGCUUUGAUAAAUAAUUAAGUUCCUAAUUUUUUUUAUGAAUAAAAAAGUUAAUAUUUUCUUUUCUUCUUGAAACACAACUCAUUAAAUGCCAUAAUUUUGUUAACUAACUUGCAGGAAGCCCAAUUCUGAUACUUGGAUUCUGUCUCCCUAAAGUUUUUCACCCUUUGGUUUUCAAUCUUUCUCCAGGUACACUACUAGAAUUUUAAUAGUUAAGUGAUGGUUUGGAUACAUUUUCUAUUUUCUUUUCUUCUUUUUUUAUUUUUAUUUUUAAAAACAAGAAUUAGUGUUAAGUUAUGUAUAAAAUUUGUUGACAUUCUUUUAAUCAUUCACAAAUUUUAAAAAUUUGAGCAUUAUUUUGAUCCUAUUUGAUAGCAAAAAUGAUAAUUAUUUUCUUACAAAUUCCUUUCAUUAUAAAAACAAAAACAGUGAGAAGUUUCAUUUUGUUUUUCCUUUUUUUAGUUCUUUUCUUUUCUAAAAUGUAAAAAUAUUAAAUUUUUUUUUUAUAAAUGAUAAGUCUAGAAUUAUUUUUUUAAAAAAAAUUGAAAAAUGUAUUAUCAAAAUAUUAUUAUACUACUUUCUUACUUUUUCUUCCUCUAAAGAAAAAGGAGUUUUUCUUCUUUGUAGUGUGAAAAAGAAAUAUGAAAUAAUAUGAAAACAAAAAUUAAAUUAUGAUUGCGCCAUUGCCUUAAUAUUGAGGUGAUGGUAUUCCAUCAUACCUUGAUGUGGUAUAAUCUGAUGGACGCUCGAGGACAGGCAAAUAUAGGAGAGGAGACCCUUCACAACAUUUACACUUGUGCCUCAUAGAGCAUGUCUUCUUCACCCCAUAUUUGUAAAUGAGGACCAUAUCCAAUGCCUUUACCAUGGUUAGUAUAAGGAGAAGUAAAUAAGCAAAAGUUCAUUUGCUAUACUAAUAACAACUUACAAUAUCAAUUAGUAAUACAUAAAAUCAAAACAAUUGCUUGCUCAUGGGUACUAAUAAACCUUGGAAAUGAUGAUGGAUGAAGUUUAGGUUGGGAGUGCUAGAUGGAAAAUGUUGUCAACACGAUUGCUUAAUGUAAAAAUAAAAUCAUUGUCAUGUAUGUUUUGAGCAAUAGUGAAUUAUCUUGAUUUGGCCUAGUAGUGACUCUCCAAUAGCCUUCCUUCUUUGCAACCUCCAGCAGGAUUUAAAAUCCAUACUAAGGUAUAUGCAUUGAGAUCUUUCUAUUGUUUUGAAUGUAUGCAGCGGGUUGAAAGGUAUGUUGACUUGAAUAGUAUGGGAUGAUUCAUUUUAUCUAUUUCCUUAGGUUAUCAAUUUUAGGCUAUUUGAUUAAUUGUUAAUGAGAUCUAUAUUGAUGCAUGUAUCAUCAUUGAUUCCUUAGGUUCAAUUGUUGCUCUUCCCUUGACUGCAUUAUUGAAAAUGGGUUCUUUGGCUUUCAACUAAAAUUCAAUGCCAAGGUUGCAAAGGAAACUAGUUUGUUGAAAGAAGAGAAAUCAUUAUAUUGAUGAAGGCAUGAUGACAAAAACCACGAAGAUUACAUUGAUCAAUGAACUCAUUAGGAGGUUAAAUUAGGUUUUUGUAGAUUAUGGUUUAUCUUAAUCGUCAUUGCAUUCAUGUUUGUUCUUUUAUUGAAGGACUUAGAAAUUGUUGUUGAAAUAUUUUGAUAUGAUUAAUAAAUUUGGAUGUAAUUAUUGUA